CUUAAGUAGACAUAGCAUGAAAUUUUACAUUAUAUAGUGAUGAAAUGAUUACAUGUUUGUAAUAUGCAGAUCUAAAAAUAAAUGACUAAAAUUUUCAAGUUUCUAUAUGCUAUGUUCCUCUCUUUUGUUCUAUUUUUUAUUGCAACUGAAGUUAAGGGAGCAUUUUUUGAUUCCUGCAAUUCGAAUUCUGAUUGUUCUCUUAAUGAUUGGUGCAAUCUUACUAUGAAUGCAACAUGCUACUGGGGUCACUGUUUCUGCAUGUGGUAGUGAAGUAUUGAAAACUAUAAGCAUUUCAUUUUAUAGUCUUUUGCUCUUUUUAAUUUUUCACAGCUAUUAUAGUGCUUAAUUAAAAUUAUCUACAUCAAUAAAUAAGCAAAACUUGAUUGUGUAAAUGAAUUAUAUAUUAAUUAUGUUUAUAUAUUUAACAUAGAAACAACAUGCAAUAUAAAAAUGAAUAAAUAUUGGUAUGUAUUUAAAAAGGAUAAAUUUUUGUUAGUAAUAAAAUCAGCUUUUGUUAUUUCAAACAAAAAAAGAUAAAAACCUUUUACAAAAAUAGAUGAAAUCAUAUCGAGAUAUCAACACAUAAAAAAAUUUAAGUAAUUAAUGUAAAGUGUUAUAAAGAAUAUAUCUCACACUUUUAUUUUGACUUUUACAAAAUUUCAAUAGUUUUAAUUUUACUUUUUUAAACUUAAUUACUUAUUUUUCAUAUAUUCACCUUACUUUUAACUUUUUUGAAUUUUUUAAUAUAUGGAUGUAUAAAAGACACAUUCGUUUAGGAAAACAUAAAAAACACUCCAACCAUGACAAAAAAAGUCAAACACUCGGACUGCUGAUGAGUCAUACAAAGUUUAAAAGGACAUUAAUAUAAAUAGGAUAUUAAUUCGUAGAUUUUUCAAAAUAUCAUUUCACAGACAAAACAACGAUCAUAUCUUCUAAGUCCUUCGUGUUUACACACAUACCUGAAAAAACCAAAUCGUUUCACGAUUAUUAAGAAGUCUAAACCACCAAAUGUCUAACCAUAACUUACCUUCCUUUAAUUCUAAGCAAUCCUUUAGGGCUAAGAAAGCCUGAAAAAUCAACAUAAAAUCAUUAGAAACAACAAAGGACCACCCAUGCCACCAAAGGAUCAUAAACCAUAAAACUAAAACAAUUAUACGAGUAACAAAAAAAAAAGAAGAGAAUUCAACUACAAGAAACAACCACAUAGACCACAUGACAUCCCAAACGGGUCCAAAAGAAUACCACACUUAUAUUGAUUUUCUCUAAAAGAAAACUUAUCAAGAAGAAGUUGACAGACUAAAAUCUUGGAAAGAGCUCAAGUAAUCCAUAGACAAGACAUGACAUUAUCGACUCUAUUCAAAUGAAGACUAGAACCAAGCUUAGUAUGAAUGAGAGAAAUAUAAGGAGAGGUAAUUGAGUAUUCACCUUACUUCCUAACUUUCCACUUUCAUCCAUCAUUCUCGUGCGAGAGGAUAAUCACCUACACUACUUACAAAAGAUUCACAACUAACUCAAAUCCCAAAACAAAGAAAGACUUCAUCCACUUAAUAUUCCACCUUACCCAAUGUAACAUCCUGAUUUUAUUAAUAUUUUUAUUAAUUAUAUUAGUAAUUAUAGUAUUUGGUAUUUUUAAUAAUUAAUUAUUUAUUUAGUUAUUAUGUGAUAUAAUAAUUAUUUAAAAUAUUUAAUUGUAUGUGUGUUUGUGUUAUUUGGGUUAAUUAAGUUGUAUGAGAGUUAUAGUUAGUUAGGCCUUAGUAGUAGAAACAUAAUAGAUGGAUUAUGGGUUAAGCCCAUUAAGAGAAAAGAGAUAGUAAGAGUAAAAAAUUAGGGUUUUAGAGUUGGAGUCUCAUAACUCAUUUUUGGGAAGAAAUGAAAAAUAGAAGAGAGAAGAGAAACAAGGGAGGAGCACUGGAGGAAACAUAAAUAAUUUUAAUAUGUAAAAGCAUUCUUUGAACCAAUCUAAGGGUUUAUGUGAAUGAAGUGGAUAACUGAAUUAGAUAUUACAAGUUAAAUGAUAUUCAAUAUACAAUUCAAAUCAAUUUUUGCCAAAAACUUGUGGUUACUACAUUGAUGCAUUAAUCGUACAAAAACGUUUGCCAUUAUUCAGUGUACAAUUAUCAUUUUUAUUUUGCAUUUUGGUUCAUGUCAAUCAUGAAAAGCUAAAAAGAAAAUAAAGAUACGAAUGAAAGGUUGGGUAUAAAAAGAAACAAACAAGAUACGUUAAUAUUGUUUAAAACAAAACUUGCCAGCAAUAUUUUUAAGUGAGAAAAAGGGUAAAUGAUCAAUCUAAUGAGCUAAAGAGACAAACAGGAUACAUUAAUAUGCUUUAAAGAGACACUUAAUAAUAUUUUUGUGUGAUAGUUUUCUAAAACAAUAUGCUAAAUCUCAUUACAAAAAGUUAAAUUUAAAUUCUGAAUUAGAAUUUUCUCGAACAAUUCUAUGUUAAUUAGAACUUGUUAGCUUGUUAAAAUUAAUUACAUUGUUAUAAGACUCAUUUGUUAUAGAUUUAAAAAAAAAAAAAAGAUAUUUUUUAUAUUUUGAAAAAUGAUUUUUCUAAAAAUAUUUUAUAAAUUUUAAAAUUUUUUAAAAUUAUUUUUUAUAAGUUAAAAGAUAAUUUUGACAUCCUAUAAUAUUAAUAUACAUUAUUGAAGAUUAAAACAUAUUCAAACUCACAAUUUAAAAAAAUUAUAUCUCAAUAAUGAUUUUUAUUAAAAAAUAUUUAAAAUAAUUUUAAAUUUAAGUGAUUUUUAAAAAAUUUAACAUAAAAAAAUUAAAGCAAAAGGUGAAAUAUUUAAAAUAAAAUUUUAAGAAUAACUAUUUAAACUAAUUUUUUAUUAAACUAAUUUUUUGUAAAAUUUUCUUAAACAAAAAUAUCUAACACUAUAAAAGUUAUUUUUAAAAAAAAUCUAAAACAAACAGACUAAAUAUUUUCAUUAUGUAAAAGCAUUCUUUGAACCAAUCUAAGUGUCCAACACUAUUUAAUUUGAUUUAAGUAGACAUAGCAUGAGAUUUUACAUUAUAUAGUGAUGAAAUAAUUACAUAUUUGUAAUAUGCACAUCUAAAAAUAAAUGACUAAAAUUUUCAAGUUUCUAUAUGCUAUGUUCCUCUCUUUUGUUCUAUUUUUUAUUGCAACUGAAGUUAGGGGAGCAUUUUUCGAUUCCUGCAAUUCGAAUUCUGAUUGUUCUCUUAAUGAUUGGUGCCAUCUUCCUAUGAAUGCAACAUGCUACUGGGGUCAUUGUUUCUGCAUACAGGGAAGGGGUGCCUACCACUACUAGGCCAUUUUAUUCCUUGUGAUUUAUUUUCCCUUCACGACGAUUUAAGUAUUGUGUUCAAUUAUUCCAUACUUAAAACUUAUAUUUAUUUCCAAAACGAUUUUAUAUGAGUGUUAUUUGUAGUUUUAUUUUCUUUAAUUACUCUAUUUUUUAGUUUAAAUAUAUAUUUUUCUACUGUUAUUUAUUUAAUAUUAACCCAUAAAUCUAUAAUAGUUUCGUUGGUUAAAAUAAGUACGUAACAUGGAUAAAAUGUUUUAUAUAUUUUAUUGUUUUGUAAAUUUCUCCAAUGGUAUAUUUUAAAUAAAUAUAAUAAUUUCAAAUUUCAAUUUACUUCCAUGAAAUAUAUUUGAAUAAUAUUUACACAAAUUAAAAGUCCUUGCAUGAGAUAUGUUAGAAAUUUAUUUUUAAAAUAUUUAAAGAGACAUAAA
Molecule: long non-coding RNA, 3700 nt
Organism: Vicia villosa (hairy vetch)
Lineage: Eukaryota; Viridiplantae; Streptophyta; Magnoliopsida; Fabales; Fabaceae
Exons: 3
Source: RefSeq, a predicted model, not a curated record